AGCAAAGGAAACAAUCACUUCAAUUAAUCUCAUAUCAAUUUCGGAUCCUAAACGCAGCAAUUAACCAAGUAAGCCGCCUGGCUUAUUGUAAACCCUGUUCUGCCACAUUUUUCAUUUAAAAAUCCAUCAAGCACCAGUUAAGUUUAAUCCAAUAUGAAAGACCCAAUCAAAGGAAAGCGAAUGGGGAAACCCCGAGUUCAACCCUGGCCAUGGUCUAUUUUCUGAUCCGUGAACGCCAAUAUAAAUUCCAUAUACACACAAGGCAGAACCUCUGUGUGUGGGGGAAAAUGGAAAAUGUCCAUUUUAAAAAUAGAUUUAUUGAUUGUAACAAAUUUUUAUAUUUCACUAGAGCAAGAAGGAAAACCAGAAAACUGGGCCCAUCCCCUGGAAAACCCACCGAACCAUCCAACCAACACCCUCGACAGAUGAGCUUGCCAAGGGCGGAGGGGAUAAUAUAUAUAUGUAGGCGGUUGACAGGUUUGCCAUCUUCAUCACCGUCAAUUCAGAUGAACACCCAAAAAGAGACUUGCGCAGAAUUGCGGACCACCACUUACCAAAACUUCGUAGCAGAUUUCCCUCAGCUCCUUCUCCACACGCUCUCUGUACUCACGGGCGAGCUGCUGUUUUC
This is a long non-coding RNA of Drosophila yakuba, 628 nucleotides long. RefSeq lists it as uncharacterized. The record is from RefSeq and is a predicted model, not a curated record. NCBI's taxonomy places the organism in Eukaryota, Metazoa, Arthropoda, Insecta, Diptera, Drosophilidae. The transcript has 2 exons.